CAAGACAUCUUUCUUCCUUGACCUCAUGCUCCUACCGUCAAAGGAUAAUGCAGCACCUGCAGAGUCGCUGUCGACUACCACCUACUGAAGGAGGUGGCGUAACUGGAGCAAAGUAGGCGUGAACUUUCACAUCAGGAUUUGCUCUGCAUCUGAGGAGAUCGCAAAGCUCCGCCAACAACCUAGGACAGUUGAGAGGAACUGGCGGGGGGGCCGGUCUGCGCUCGUGAUCAAAGGCGCAAAAGCCGAGCACUGCAGGGGGCAUGCGCAGACUGGCCGAAUAUUGCUCUGAAAUCUUCCGACCAGCGGCACUGGGAUGGACCCAACACCUAGAGUGGAGCACCCACGGGGCCACUUGAAGAACCAUUCCUUUCCACUGCAUAUGAGACUUUCACCUUUUGCUGGUACUUUAGCUGGGUAGCAGGUAUCUGGAAAUACCUAUCUUGCUAGCAGAUAGUAUUGUUAGCCAAGGAACCCAGGCCCUGACAAAGUUGUUUUGGAUUUAUUAAGUUAGUAGUAAGUUGUUUUAUAAGCUAAAGUAGUGAUACGAAAUGAAUUUGUUUCAAAAUCAUGAUGUUCUGUUAAAGGCCUGCUCAUUAGAAAAUUGUUUAACAGCCCCUGUGCUGUUUCUUCUAAAAUUGCUUAGUAGAAAAAUGUAUAGUUAUAGUUUGUAUGAAUGAAGUACGUGUGUGCAGCUAAGAAGAGAUAGUAUGUUAGUAGCAGAUGAGCCUAAUUACAGAAGAACGAAGGAAACAGGUGCCAGUAUCGCCUUGCCUUGAUGAUCCAAGGAGUGCAAAUUGAUGACCCUGGAGUGUGAAAACAUCCCUCCAAACUAAGAAUAAAGUAUAAGACUCUCUCUGGUGGUGUAAAAGGCGCCAAAAGCAAAAAGAUCUCUAGAGCUGCUCCAUUGUGGGAGAGUCACCAGCAAGCAUGGCCAACACCUAUGCUAUUCCCACUACAACCCUCAGUAUAAGGGCAUCAGAGUCUGAAGAAGGGAGAGGUGAAGCCUAAGUGCUACUAUAGUGUAGCUACUCUUGGCUGGCAUACUGGACCUCAAGGCUGUUCUAAGUACGCCAGCACCGGGAAAGAAAAAGUCAGAAUAUAAGGGUGUUACAACUAGUUUUGUUUUGAGCCACCUUACCUCAGGUGUGCCCAUCAGAUAUUGGGUGUAGAUGACAAUUUAGCCCAUCAUCGAUUUAAGUUUACGAACACUGGAAAAUAUUGUAUACUAAUGGAAAAACACACUUAAAACAUCACCUACUUCAGAUAGGAUUUACAGUACUUUUUGUAAGGUAAAAGAAGAUACAGAACCAUAAAAUGUGGUGCCUCUCAGAAUAGAGCAUCAGCUUGUAGAAAGUAGCUGAAGAGCCUUUGUAUGUCUCUAUGAAAUAAUAUAGUCAGUAAGCAGCUAUGACAAAUUCUUUUUCCUCCUUUCACAUGAUAUAUAGGAGCUGGGUUUUUGCCCUCAUGCCGAACACCCUUAACUCUGAUGGAAAUUAAUGGUAGUUGAAGGUGCUCAGAAUUUCAUAGGAGAAACAAUCUCCCAGAAUCAGGCCAAUGAUGAAAACAAAAACUUUGA
Molecule: non-coding RNA, 1576 nt
Organism: Pelodiscus sinensis (Chinese soft-shelled turtle)
Lineage: Eukaryota; Metazoa; Chordata; Testudines; Trionychidae
Source: RefSeq, a predicted model, not a curated record